RNAcentral lists this ribosomal RNA (431 nucleotides) under Pseudomonas sp. RNAcentral describes it as "bacterial SSU rRNA". It matches the Rfam family "Bacterial small subunit ribosomal RNA", at positions 76 to 503 of the family's 1533-position model. Lineage: Bacteria; Pseudomonadati; Pseudomonadota; Gammaproteobacteria; Pseudomonadales; Pseudomonadaceae. The record is from RNAcentral.
GAGCUUGCUCCUGAAUUCAGCGGCGGACGGGUGAGUAAUGCCUAGGAAUCUGCCUGGUAGUGGGGGACAACGUUUCGAAAGGAACGCUAAUACCGCAUACGUCCUACGGGAGAAAGCAGGGGACCUUCGGGCCUUGCGCUAUCAGAUGAGCCUAGGUCGGAUUAGCUAGUUGGUGAGGUAAUGGCUCACCAAGGCGACGAUCCGUAACUGGUCUGAGAGGAUGAUCAGUCACACUGGAACUGAGACACGGUCCAGACUCCUACGGGAGGCAGCAGUGGGGAAUAUUGGACAAUGGGCGAAAGCCUGAUCCAGCCAUGCCGCGUGUGUGAAGAAGGUCUUCGGAUUGUAAAGCACUUUAAGUUGGGAGGAAGGGCAGUAAAUUAAUACUUUGCUGUUUUGACGUUACCGACAGAAUAAGCACCGGCUAACUC